RNAcentral lists this unclassified non-coding RNA (180 nucleotides) under uncultured Inocybe. RNAcentral describes it as "sequence contains ITS2". Lineage: Eukaryota; Fungi; Basidiomycota; Agaricomycetes; Agaricales; Cortinariaceae. The record is from RNAcentral.
AGUUCUCAACCAUACCUCGGUGUGGCUUGGAUCUGGGGGGUUUUGCAGGCUUCAAGGAAAGUCGGCUCCCCUGAAAAGCAUUAGCGGUGUCCGAGUACCUUUGGUGUGAUAACUAUCUAUGCCUUGGUGUAUACGAUGCAUGCUGCUUCUGAACUUGCGUCUUGCGCAUUUUGUUGACAU